This 430-nucleotide ribosomal RNA is filed under the name uncultured bacterium. Its description in RNAcentral is "partial 16S ribosomal RNA". It matches the Rfam family "Bacterial small subunit ribosomal RNA", at positions 29 to 507 of the family's 1533-position model. The record is from RNAcentral.
AGCGAACGCUGGCGGCAGGCCUAACACAUGCAAGUCGAACGCCCCUUCGGGGAGUGGCGGACGGGUGAGUAACGCGUGGGAAUGUGCCCCUUGGUACGGAACAACCGAGGGAAACUUCAGCUAAUACCGUAUGUGCCCCACGGGGGAAAGAUUUAUUGCCAUUGGAGCAGCCCGCGUUGGAUUAGGUAGUUGGUGGGGUAAUGGCCCACCAAGCCGACGAUCCAUAGCUGGUCUGAGAGGAUGAUCAGCCACACUGGGACUGAGACACGGCCCAGACUCCUACGGGAGGCAGCAGUGGGGAAUCUUGCGCAAUGGGCGAAAGCCUGACGCAGCCAUGCCGCGUGAAUGAUGAAGGUCUUAGGAUUGUAAAAUUCUUUCACCGGGGAAGAUAAUGACGGUACCCGGAGAAGAAGCCCCGGCUAACUUCGUG